GUAGGUGGCAAGCGUUGUCCGGAAUUAUUGGGCGUAAAGCGCGCGCAGGCGGUCCUUUAAGUCUGAUGUGAAAGCCCACGGCUCAACCGUGGAGGGUCAUUGGAAACUGGGGGACUUGAGUACAGAAGAGGAAAGCGGAAUUCCAAGUGUAGCGGUGAAAUGCGUAGAGAUUUGGAGGAACACCAGUGGCGAAGGCGGCUUUCCGGUCUGUAACUGACGCUGAGGCGCGAAAGCGUGGGGAGCAAACAGGAUUAGAUACCCUGGUAGUCCACGCCGUAAACGAUGAGUGCUAAGUGUUAGGGGGUUUCCCGCCCCCCUUAGUGCUGCAGCUAACGCAUUAAGCACUCCGCCUGGGGGAGUACGGCCGCAAGGCUG
RNAcentral lists this ribosomal RNA (375 nucleotides) under uncultured organism. Its description in RNAcentral is "partial 16S ribosomal RNA". It matches the Rfam family "Bacterial small subunit ribosomal RNA", at positions 527 to 896 of the family's 1533-position model. The record is from RNAcentral.